GACGAACGCUGGCGGCGUGCCUAAUACAUGCAAGUUGAGCGCUGAAGGUUGGUACUUGUACCGACUGGAUGAGCAGCGAACGGGUGAGUAACGCGUGGGGAAUCUGCCUUUGAGCGGGGGACAACAUUUGGAAACGAAUGCUAAUACCGCAUAAAAACUUUAAACACAAGUUUUAAGUUUGAAAGAUGCAAUUGCAUCACUCAAAGAUGAUCCCGCGUUGUAUUAGCUAGUUGGUGAGGUAAAGGCUCACCAAGGCGAUGAUACAUAGCCGACCUGAGAGGGUGAUCGGCCACAUUGGGACUGAGACACGGCCCAAACUCCUACGGGAGGCAGCAGUAGGGAAUCUUCGGCAAUGGACGAAAGUCUGACCGAGCAACGCCGCGGGAGUGAAGAAGGUUUUCGGAUCGUAAAACUCUGUUGGUAGAGAAGAACGUUGGUGAGAGUGGAAAGCUCAUCAAGUGACGGUAACUACCCAGAAAGGGACGGCUAAAUACGUG
This 497-nucleotide ribosomal RNA is filed under the name uncultured bacterium. RNAcentral describes it as "partial 16S ribosomal RNA". It matches the Rfam family "Bacterial small subunit ribosomal RNA", at positions 28 to 507 of the family's 1533-position model. The record is from RNAcentral.